This 234-nucleotide unclassified non-coding RNA is filed under the name soil metagenome. RNAcentral describes it as "partial internal transcribed spacer 1". The record is from RNAcentral.
UUGAAUUUUAAUGAAGAGUUUGGCUUGUAGCUGGCCCAUUCAUUUGGGCAUGUGCACACCAUCCUCUUUCAUCCCACACACACCUGUGAACCUGUGAGACAGAGAUGGGGAAUUUACUUGCUGCUUUUUGGAAUACAAAGGCAAUAGGUUAUUGGACCCCCCCUCUGUCUACUCAAUUAAUAUAAACUCAAUUUAUUUUAAAAACGAAUGUAAUGGAUGUAACACAUCUCAUAC